AGCCACAACAACAACUAAUGAUACUUCAAUAGAACUACAAGUCUAUCGAGUUUGGUGGUGGUAUGUUGCAGUUGCAGCACUCUUAAUAACUGUUGUUAUUGUCGUUGCUCUCAUCAGAUGGAAGAAAACUAAAGGAAAAAAAACCCAGAUGGAUGAAAACAUUGUGAGUUUUACGGCUGAGUAAUCAAAUGUUUCUACAGUUAUGACAGAGCUGAAUCAGCUGCUCUCUGACAGAGUCAUCCAAAUCUAAACAGCCUUCACAGAGCCAGUGUUUGACCACAUGGAAGUAGACUCUGUUUGUUUGUUGUUUUCA
Long non-coding RNA from Micropterus salmoides (largemouth bass), 313 nucleotides. RefSeq lists it as uncharacterized. NCBI's taxonomy places the organism in Eukaryota, Metazoa, Chordata, Actinopteri, Centrarchiformes, Centrarchidae. The record is from RefSeq and is a predicted model, not a curated record. The transcript is spliced from 3 exons.